CCUACGGGAGGCAGCAGUGGGGAAUAUUGCACAAUGGGCGCAAGCCUGAUGCAGCGACGCCGCGUGAGGGAUGACGGCCUUCGGGUUGUAAACCUCUUUCAGCAGGGACGAAGCGCAAGUGACGGUACCUGCAGAAGAAGCACCGGCCAACUACGUGCCAGCAGCCGCGGUAAUACGUAGGGUGCAAGCGUUGUCCGGAAUUACUGGGCGUAAAGAGCUCGUAGGCGGUUUGUCGCGUCGUCUGUGAAAACCAGCAGCUCAACUGUUGGCUUGCAGGCGAUACGGGCAGACUUGAGUAUUUCAGGGGAGACUGGAAUUCCUGGUGUAGCGGUGAAAUGCGCAGAUAUCAGGAGGAACACCGGUGGCGAAGGCGGGUCUCUGGGAAAUAACUGACGCUGAGGAGCGAAAGCGUGGGUAGCGAACAGGAUUAGAUACCCUGGUAGUCCACGCCGUAAACGGUGGGCGCUAGGUGUGGGUUUCCUUCCACGGGAUCCGGUGCCGUAGCUAACGCAUUAAGCGCCCUGCCUGGGGAGUACGGCCGCAAGGCUAAAACNCAAAGGAUUGACGG
This 568-nucleotide ribosomal RNA is filed under the name uncultured bacterium. Its description in RNAcentral is "bacterial SSU rRNA". It matches the Rfam family "Bacterial small subunit ribosomal RNA", at positions 338 to 916 of the family's 1533-position model. The record is from RNAcentral.